UUUAUUCAGUUUUUAUUGAGUUGAAAUUUUUCAUGUUACUUUAGCUUGAUGAAAUUGUGGUAGUGGUUAUCAUAGAUAGUUAUAUAUCGUGGAGUGAAUAUACAUAAUGUUUGUAUGGAAGGAUGAAUGUGGCGAGUGUGCAUAUAUAAUUGUGGUGUGGUGUGAUCUGAGUGUUUGAUAUAUUUCAUGGCAGAGAGAAGAAAGAACGAAUGAGAGAGAUGUAUGCGAGAACAAUUGAGAGCGGGCAUAGUGACGAGAAACAGUUGUGAUCGGGAAGAUGCAAAGCAUGAGAGACGAGAUAGAGAGUGAAACAAUGAGAGUUAAACAUUCCAUGUGUUUCGUAAUUUAUAUUAAAUCUAUCAAUAAUCAGUGUGUUUGUAAUUCGAUCCACUAACAGAAAUUUCAGACGAAUUCAAGAAAUUCUUUGCGCAUAGACUUCUUACACGUAUACCUAUGUAUCCUUUCAGAGCAUUAUUUCUUCACGAACGAUGAAGAAAUUUUAAACGUUGAGCAUAAACGAAAAGCAGGCUCAAUCAGGCGAUACGGGAGAGAGAAAAAAAGGUUGGGAACCGCUGGUAUAAUGGAUGAAAAUUAAAUUAGACUAUACAGAUGUAUGUAUAUAUAAAAUAUACGUAUUUAUGUAAAUUAAAAUACAAAAAAUUACGUUAUUGUAUUACGAUAUUUAAAUGGAUGGAAAACGAGGUUCGGGAAUUAUAGAAUUAAGUAAUGGAAUUUUACGGGUGAAAUGGGAAUUGGAGGUUGAAGGUUAAAGUGGAAAAUGGCCGACGAUGGAGCCCCUAGAAAGAAAGAACAGAGAGGAAUAAAAGUAUUUGGAAAAGUCAUUUUUAAAUUUAUUGAUUGACGCGCGAGGAUUUGGGUUUUAGGUUAUCUUUCGUUUUAUUUCACGCGGUAAACCUAAACGCAAGGGAAAUCGUUUCAACGUACGCAGCUAGUAGAAAACUGUGUUGAACAACUCGAACAGCUCGUUUAAUGUUCAUUUAAUAUUCUUAAUUCUGGUAGUUAAUUAAAUGAAUUAGAGUGGCCUCCUCGAGAAGAAAGAAUGAAACUGUCGUCAGCGAUAAUUGUCGUUACCGAUGUUCCCUUCCUCGUUUUCAACGCACUUGUUUGUCCAUUUAACCCUGUGAUAAUUGGCACAAUUGCCGGAAUUAUGUCGCGUAACAGCCAUUUGAAAAAGAAGAUACGAAUGAGAAGAUUAUUAAUUAGCCGUGGAUUAAAUCAAGACGUACGCAUAUACAUACGUAGAUACAUACGCACGUGUUUUCCAAGAAAUCCUCGCUCCCUUGCAACCCUAUUCUUCUCUCUCAGUUUUAUUCGCGUGGAUGGCCGUUCACGCUCCAGAAUCUCCUACGUUUCUCUCUCAUUUCGUCAAAUCGAACAUUUCCUCAUCGUGUUAUCGUACUGUAUCAUUUAUAUAUUCGACAUAUUUCCAUGUCAUUUCUUGUACAAAUAAAUCAAUCCCAUUUUAA
Frieseomelitta varia is the source of this 1487-nucleotide long non-coding RNA. RefSeq lists it as uncharacterized. The record is from RefSeq and is a predicted model, not a curated record. The transcript has 2 exons. Lineage: Eukaryota; Metazoa; Arthropoda; Insecta; Hymenoptera; Apidae.